GUGAGGAAUUUUGCGCAAUGGGGGCAACCCUGACGCAGCGACGCCGCGUGGAGGACGAAGUCUUUCGGGAUGUAAACUCCUGUCAGUGGGGACGAUAAUGACGGUACCCACAGAGGAAGCACCGGCUAACUCCGUGCCAGCAGCCGCGGUAAGACGGAGGGUGCAAGCGUUGUUCGGAAUUACUGGGCGUAAAGCGUAUGUAGGCGGCAAGUUAAGUUCAAUGUUAAAGCCCACGGCUGAACCGAGGAGAUGCAUUGAAUACUGGCUAGCUAGAGGGUGUUAGAGGAAGACGGAAUUCCCAGUGUAGCGGUGAAAUGCGUAGAUAUUGGGAGGAACAUCGGUAGCGAAAGCGGUCUUCGGGGACAUACCUGACGCUGAGGUACGAAAGCGUGGGGAGCAAACGGGAUUAGAAACCCGGGUAGUCC
Molecule: ribosomal RNA, 425 nt
Filed under: uncultured bacterium
Lineage: Bacteria
Description: partial 16S ribosomal RNA
Rfam family: Bacterial small subunit ribosomal RNA
Source: RNAcentral